Long non-coding RNA from Coregonus clupeaformis (lake whitefish), 1580 nucleotides. RefSeq lists it as uncharacterized. Lineage: Eukaryota; Metazoa; Chordata; Actinopteri; Salmoniformes; Salmonidae. The transcript is spliced from 5 exons. The record is from RefSeq and is a predicted model, not a curated record.
GAAACCAAGAGUAAACAGGGUAAAUGGUAUAUCUUUACAGUACAUGAAAUAUGUUCGCUCAAACGCAAUUGAGUGCUGGUUAGGUAAUCCUCCAUGUUUUUACUCGGUUUAUUUCGUAAGCUAUGCUUUGCAACAAAUAUAAAUACCUUCAUAACAUUUAAAUAAAAUGUUGUGUUCAGCUUUGAAACAGUAAAAUGGUUGAGGGGUUUAUUAUUUAGCUGAAUGCACAUAAGAGCUGGCACACUCGUGCCUAGUUCGCUUGCCAACAAUGUUAUCUUACUGUAAAAUAUGUCAUAUUACGGUUACAUGCACACAAUAAUGCGAUUAUUGUGGAUAGUCAUUAAUAUAAUAGUUCGAUUAAAAUGUUUAUAUGCUUUGCAAGAAUAACGAUCUCCCUAAUAAUCGUGUUUACAUGGACACGUCGGAAAUCAGGUUACCUGAUGGCACUGAUAAAUGCAGAUAAUCGCCAAUCAAAAUUCAAGUCUAACUACCAAUUGGAUUUCACGAAAUUGUGGCGAAAAGGGGGUAAAAGUAUAAUAAAAUAUAUAUUCUACCACCGCGACCACGUUAUUUUUGGGAAGCAUUUGAUUCUAAAUUCGGACAUAUAAAGUUUGUAUGUGAAAACUACUUCUGAAGCCGAAACCACAGAGAGACGCCGUCAACAUUUGCUUGCGAGAUUAGAGUGCGUCAAUUCACAUACACAGUGUAGCAUAUGCCAAUUUAAUUGUCAACCAGAGUUGUAUAUGUUAUGUUCGCUAUGUAGCCCUUAUGAAUUAUUGCUGUGUUCCUUUUGAGUAACCUUAUAUGUCCUACAGGAGCCUCCGUACGUGCCAGCUUUAAACAGUUAUGUUAGCUCACGAAUGUGAGGGGAGUUUUUGCUAAUACACCCGAGCAGUUUAUAAAGAAUUUAGCUAGUCUUAUUCUUUCUACAUACUAGUAUUCUCUCUUGAAAUCAGAGUUCCUCAAGUUUCCUAGCCCAAGCUAUAUGGCUGUGAUCGAAAUCAACACAGGGGCCUCCUCUUUGCUGAGCUGGGAUGUUCAUUGCUAUCCUUAUCAACAAGUUUAUAGGACCAGCUCUUUCCAUCGAAGAGGGUCACACCCUGAUCCUGCUGACCUAGAGUUCCAGGCAGGGGAGAACUCUCACUUUGAGAGCGUCUAUGAGCACGGCAAUAGUCGGCGCGAGACCGACGAGCAUAUGCUUUCCCCCCUCUCCUCCUAAGGGUGAGGCUGAAGGCUCUAUUCCCGUUCCAUACCGACUAGCUCAUGUCAGCUCCAGCAGCAACCAGCAGGUUCAGGAAGAACAGCCAGAGCCUGAAGCGCCAGAGCCUAGUGGGGAGUCUUUCCAGGGUGGAGAAGACCCUUUACUGCACCAUUGGGGGCCCUGGCUCUAACAAGAUUCCUUGGCAUGAGCAGAACAACCAGGCUAAGGGUAGUGUCUGGUUGGAGUCUUCCCAGGGUGUAUUUGUCUGGGUACCAUCAGUAUUGUCACUACAUGGCUACUAGCAGCUCUGUAUUAACCUGGCUCCUGAUAUCAUUUGGUUAUAGUGCUCUACAACUUUGAAUAAAUUACUUUGUUUUUU